CGGUAAACGGCGGCCGUAACUAUAACGGUCCUAAGGUAGCGAAAUUCCUUGUCGGGUAAGUUCCGACCUGCACGAAUGGCGUAAUGAUGGCCACGCUGUCUCCACCCGAGACUCAGUGAAAUUGAAAUCGCUGUGAAGAUGCAGUGUACCCGCGGCUAGACGGAAAGACCCCGUGAACCUUUACUACAGCUUGGCACUGAACAUUGAACCUACAUGUGUAGGAUAGGUGGGAGGCUUUGAAGACGUGACGCCAGUUGCGUUGGAGCCGUCCUUGAAAUACCACCCUUGUAUGUUUGAUGUUCUAACGUUGGCCCCUAAUCGGGGUUGCGGACAGUGCCUGGUGGGUAGUUUGACUGGGGCGGUCUCCUCCCAAAGAGUAACGGAGGAGCACGAAGGUGGGCUAAUCACGGUUGGACAUCGUGAGGUUAGUGCAAUGGCAUAAGCCCGCUUAACUGCGAGAAUGACGGUUCGAGCAGGUGCGAAAGCAGGUCAUAGUGAUCCGGUGGUUCUGAAUGGAAGGGCCAUCGCUCAACGGAUAAAAGGUACUCCGGGGAUAACAGGCUGAUACCGCCCAAGAGUUCAUAUCGACGGCGGUGUUUGGCACCUCGAUGUCGGCUCAUCACAUCCUGGGGCUGAAGUCGGUCCCAAGGGUAUGGCUGUUCGCCAUUUAAAGUGGUACGCGAGCUGGGUUUAGAACGUCGUGAGACAGUUCGGUCCCUAUCUGCCGUGGGCGUUGGAAGAUUGAAGGGGGCUGCUCCUAGUACGAGAGGACCGGAGUGGACGAACCUCUGGUGUUCGGGUUGUGUCGCCAGACGCAUUGCCCGGUAGCUAAGUUCGGAAUCGAUAACCGCUGAAAGCAUCUAAGCGGGAAGCGAGCCCUGAGAUGAGUCUU
RNAcentral lists this ribosomal RNA (892 nucleotides) under Vibrio vulnificus. Its description in RNAcentral is "partial 23S ribosomal RNA". It matches the Rfam family "Bacterial large subunit ribosomal RNA", at positions 1921 to 2812 of the family's 2925-position model. Lineage: Bacteria; Pseudomonadati; Pseudomonadota; Gammaproteobacteria; Vibrionales; Vibrionaceae. The record is from RNAcentral.